Molecule: ribosomal RNA, 253 nt
Filed under: uncultured bacterium
Lineage: Bacteria
Description: partial 16S ribosomal RNA
Rfam family: Bacterial small subunit ribosomal RNA
Source: RNAcentral
UACAUGGGGUGCAAACGUUGCUCGGAAUUAUUGGGCGUAAAGCGCGCGUAGGCGGUUACUCAAGUCGGAUGUGAAAGCCCUCGGCUUAACUGAGGAAGUGCACCCGAAACUGAGUAGCUAGAGUACCAAAGAGGGUCGCGGAAUUCCCGGUGUAGAGGUGAAAUUCGUAGAUAUCGGGAGGAACACCUGUGGCGAAGGCGGCCACCUGGUUGGAUACUGACGCUGAGACGCGAAAGCGUGGGGAGCAAACAGG